UUGACAGAAGAGAGCGAGCACACAGAAGCAUUUGGUAUAUAAUAUAUAUACUAUUUCUUUUGUGUGCUCGGUCUCUUCUAUCAU
This 84-nucleotide microRNA precursor is filed under the name Trifolium pratense (red clover). RNAcentral's name for it is "pre miRNA mir-156". The record is from RNAcentral. Lineage: Eukaryota; Viridiplantae; Streptophyta; Magnoliopsida; Fabales; Fabaceae.